UACGUAGGUGGCGAGCGUUAUCCGGAAUCAUUGGGCGUAAAGAGGGAGCAGGCGGCCGCAAGGGUCUGUGGUGAAAGACCGAAGCUAAACUUCGGUAAGCCAUGGAAACCGGGCGGCUAGAGUGCGGAAGAGGAUCGUGGAAUUCCAUGUGUAGCGGUGAAAUGCGUAGAUAUAUGGAGGAACAUCAGUGGCGAAGGCGACGGUCUGGGCCGCAACUGACGCUCAUUCCCGAAAGCGUGGGGAGCAAAUAGG
RNAcentral lists this ribosomal RNA (252 nucleotides) under Catenibacterium mitsuokai DSM 15897. RNAcentral describes it as "partial 16S ribosomal RNA". It matches the Rfam family "Bacterial small subunit ribosomal RNA", at positions 524 to 776 of the family's 1533-position model. Lineage: Bacteria; Bacillati; Bacillota; Erysipelotrichia; Erysipelotrichales; Coprobacillaceae. The record is from RNAcentral.